CCCAUGGAGCUCAGGGAUUCCCUUUUGCCUUCUCGCUGCUGCACGUUGCUCACUGGCAUGCGCCGAGCUGCCGGUAGAGCCAGACCUCUUGGUUUCAGGGGUUUUGCAACACCUCCCUUUCACAGGGUUCUACAUUAGACCCACAGCCGGUUCGUGCCUUCACAAGCAGCAGCAGAUGCAGACUUUGCUUGCAACAAUUGCAUCCUGAAAGGAGAUGCUUGCCUCCAGGGACCAGCAGGUUGAGCCUGAAUGCCUUGCUUUAAAUGCCAAUCAUCAGGGAAUGUCCCAACCACCUCCAGGCCAGAGGGUCCCUGCACAGUGCCUGGCAGCGGGCUGACUCUCCUCCACAGCGAAGGUUUGGCCUCCUUGUCCCUACAAAAUAUAGAUUUUACCAAAGGCAGAGGUAGCUCACGGUUCCCUUUGCUGGUUAGGAGCUACUUUCAUAUAUUUUGAGAAUGUAACCAAUGGACCAGGAUUUUCUAGAACAUUUUCUUUGCUCACUGUCUUGCAGCGGGUGAGGGAAAAGCAUGAGUGGGUUGUGCCACGUUGGCUGUCACCUCGCACGGCCAGGUGACGGCAACCAGUUUCAUCUCAGCAUGUCUGUGAAACUCUGGGAGCUUCCACGAGAAUGUUGUUUUUCAAAGAGGAAGUUUAGCUUUAACAUUGUCCAGUUAUUUAUAAAACAAGAGAUCCAUUAGUACACAAACAGCAGUUAAUGCUGUUUUUAUCGAAAACCGUAAUCUUUUUGGUAUGUUGCGUGGCUGUGUCUCCUUUUACUGCCUGGGGCAGUGCAGUCACACAGCUGGAUCCUCCAUGCUCAUCUGCUUGCACCCGGUGAAACAUCCCCAUCCAAAGGUGACAUUAAGUAGGGGCAAGGGGCGAAGAGAAGCUGGACACACUGAGAUAACACUGCUGUUGUGAAGAGCUGGGGUAGCAGCGGCAGAUGCAGUCUCAUCCCUAUGCCUCUGAAAGCCUUCCCCAAAAAAUAAAAAUGUUUUCUGAGCCACACAGAAAAAUGAAAAUAAAAAUACAUAAUCAAGGCAUCUGGGAUAACUUCCAGUGAAGAUGUAUCUGGCUUUUCUACUGCUUUGACUCACUAGUUAGAGAGGAGUGUAAGCUUUUCCCCAGCAUCACCCAUGUGAGCAUUCCCAUGCAGGUUUUAAUGAUGUUUACAUGACCUGCUUCAUGAUCUCAAAAAAAAGAAACAAAAGAAGUGAAGCUGAUUUUGCUGGUCUGCUAGGUGAAAGCAGGUCUCACCACUCUUGGCUCCCUUCUGCAAAUAAGAUUUCAAUAGCGUUAGUAACUUGGGUCAUGUUCAGUGUGGUCAGGUCCAAACCCGAGCGCAGGGUCCCCUCAGCACAGUGGGGCCAGGGUGGCCGCAUGCCAACCCAGUGACAUCAUCAAGCCUGACAACGGCAGUGCUACCAUCCCACUGACCCUCCAUCCCCAUUUUAUCCUGUGGCUCAUUCCACCUGUGACGAUAGAGAAGCUCAUCCUGGGUCAAUCACUUCAGCCAUCUAUGUCAGCACCAAGGGAUUCCCCCAAACCCCUUUUUCCCAGUGCAAAACAUGUCAGAAAUCCAAAGAGAAUUGAUACACGGUGACCUUUACAACACUUCAUUGAUAAAAUCCCUGGACUGCUUUGACCUGAAAUUGUUGUUAGCACGUAUCUUCCUAAUUCCACUGAAACAGUGUAGGACAUUAAAGUCCUAACUAGACCAAAGUCUUUUAAAAUACUUAUGAAAGUCAUUUUACACACAAGAUAAGGCACAAUGCAGUAACAUGAUAACAAUUACACAGACUUUUUACAGCCUGUUUUCCAAUGGCCACAGUGCAAACUAGCAGAUGAUGUUUCCUUCCUGAAGAAAUCUAUCUGCAAGGAACUGUCUGGAGAUCUUAAUUCUCAAAAUAAUGAACUUUGGGAGCCUCAGCUGAUGAACAGCCAGGACUCUAGCUCAUUUACCCUUCUAUUAUGGACAUAUCAGCUUUAAUAGUGCAAAACAGCUGUGACAAGACAGUGCCAAAUUUUUUCCCUGAUCACAUUUGGCCAUCAGUACUGGCCAUGACACCCACCAGUUCAGCGUAGCCUCAAGGAGCAGCCAUCAGCUGAAAGAAGCACCGGUGUUUGGGGACUUCACCAUUGUACAUCUUUGCAGCUGGGCUGGAAGAGCUUUGUCUGACACGAUGCAGAUUUCUUUAAGCACCUUCCCCUUCAGCAUCUGCACGGGUGGCUCAGAGGUCCCCUCCCCACAGGAAGGGCUGGGGGCACAGGAAAGGCUGGAAAACAGCAAAAGUUCAGCAGCAAAAUCUGCUCAGCAGAGGGACCUGAUGGCUGAGGUCAUCCCACUGUGAUGAGCAGCCAGCAGCGCGUGAUGUUUCCUGUCUGAAAAAACAUUAACCCCUGUGUACUUUCAAUUUUAUUGUGAAUCCCACAAGAAUAUUAUUCUACAUUGGUAUUUUGGGGAACGAGUGUGCAGCAUGCUGCUUAAGCACCGUCAUUGCUUGAAAACAAGGUGAUUUCAUGGCAGAUGGAUCGAGGCACUGGCUCCCAGACACAAAUGGGUCCCACUAAGCCUCAAUAAUUGGCCAAUAGCUGGUGAAAACUGCCUUGUAAAGAGAGCCCUCAACUUGAAGCUGGAGGAUAAGGGUACAGCAGUGGCAGCUCAUGGCAUACAGGGAAGACUGGCAGUAACCCAGGGAGUCUGAAGCCUUCAGUAAGAAAUACUUUUGUCUUUUGCACUUACAAUUUCUAUGUUAGAUGUGUAUGUAUUUCUAGUUACUUUCAUGCUAUGCUACAGGUUUCUAACAUUUUGUCUUUUGUAGAACUUCAGACAUCAAAUGGACUUGCAUUUUAAAGCAGGAUGCAGAUUUCCAAUACAAACUAUGCUUUUAUGCCCUCUUUUCCCCGAAUCCCCCACUUCAAAAAGCAAUAGCUUAGUGCUGCUGUAAAUUUCCUUUAAAAUACAUAAAACCAUAAAAAUCCAAGUUCAAGGAGGGAAACCAAAAGCACUAUGUAGCCCUUCAGAAUUAAAGUCAGAAAAAACCCCAACAUCUAAGUGUAUAAAAUUAAGUCAAAAGGCUGCCAAUGUUCAUGAAAAUGAUUUGAAGUCACGGUAUCUAAAAAAACAAUAGUAACUCUUGGGACUUUCUGUUUUCUUUCUGGAAUCUAAAUCUUUAGGAUUUGUGUUUUAAAGCUUGAUGCUACAAGCUGAGGGUUUGCUUUGGAUUUAAAGCAACCUUUGAAAAGUAGUGUUGAAGGGUAAAAAGCUCACAACAUCUUAAGAAUUAGGGAGCUGGUGCUUUAGGAAAGAACUAAAUCCUGCAAGGCUGCAGACGAAGCCGUGCAGGGGAAACCAGCAUGGCAGGGAGCCCUGCACCCCUCCCGGCCACGCUCUGCUCUGGGAGGAGAGACCAGUGUAGCCAGGACGGGCAGCGCGCGGGUGACGGGCAGGGAGGGAAAGGGACCUCUUAUAUGCAAUAGAAUAUAUUGCCUUCUCAUGUUGUUCAUGCCUAGUGUAAGUCUAGCUCUAUAUUGCUUUUCUGUUCUGGUUUUGAUGGGAGAUGUGGCAAGCCAGGCUUUGCCUUGGGAUUGCAUUAUCAAUUCCUAGCUGUGCUGAGCUUCCCCCAUUCCCCUUCCUCAGCAUCAUGCACUGCAGACCUAUCCCAGCUGCCAGCGGAGGAGGGGGUGUGGGAGUCUGGUCUGGAAGAAAAAUAUUCCCCAGCAGAAUAAGAGUUCAAGGCAUUUUUUUUCUUUAUCCAAAAGCCUCUGCUGGGUUUAGAAAACUUUUGCUUUCAGCAUUGUACAUGCACAGAGGGUCAGGACAGCUGCUCUCCUGAAGUUUUCAUCAUCUCAGUAAAGCACAAGAGAAAGGAAAGCAUGCUUGUCCCCAUUUAUGGGUGGAAAAAUGAAAAAGGAGAGUCUGAAGGAAAAGUGGGGCCAUUCCAGGACACAAGGGACCAGUGGCUCCAGAUACUGGCUAUUGGUGUCCAACUGCAACUCACAACAGGGGCUUGCUGAAGUGCAAACCCAAUACCAUGGCUGAGCAAGUGAGCCCAGGAAAACAGGUGGGAUGGAGGACCUUGACUUGCAAACAAAGGUAAUGAGGAUAAAUUCAGUGACUACAUACAGUUGUUUUCCAUUCUCUUUUAUUGUUUUUCCUGUUUGAUGUGGGUUUAUUCCUUUUGACAACUUGCAGCUGUUAUUUUUGGUCUUCACUGUUCUGCCUUUUCUUUUCAUGUCCCAGAUGAUGAUUUCAGUACUCCCUGGGCCCAUGCCAUCUCUACCAGCUCCUCUUCCCCAUCACCUGCAAGUGUCUCUUCCUUGCUGUCACUCCUCACAGAAGGGUUUUGCUCUUCUCUCCCGUGAAGCGGCUCCUGGCCCCGUGCCUUGCCACUGAGCUUGGCAGAAAUCAAACCAAACCUUGUGCUCAGCCAGGCAGCAGUGCCGCUGUGCCCACAGACCACACGAGGCUGAGGGGGAGCUGACCCAACGUCCUGAGGAUUUAAUGCUGAUGCCUGUGUAAAUGGUGUCUGUGCAUCCUGUUACUGGCAGGGAUGUAGCUGAGACGAGGGUAUUAGAGACCAUGACCCCUCUGAGCAGUGUGCAGAGACCUGUGCAGCAACAAGCAUCGUUCAAACCCUCUGGUGAGGUUUUUACAGCCAGAAGGUACGCGUCUCCUCUCUUCCUAAAGUAUAUCAAGAGAAAGAUGUUAAACAGGAUAAACUAUGCUGACAUACUGGUGACCUUUGUAAUGGCAUCACAGCACAAGCUAAGCUGUUAUAUUUCUAUAAAUGUAAUGAGGUUACUAAGUCAGGGGCAGAGGUGUGCAUGAGGGGGGGCAGUGAGGCUGCGAGGGGAGUAGAACAGCUGGAGAGGUGAGAGCAGAUGCUGCCCCAUCCACCCCUGCCCUUGCCCCUGCCAGCCUGCACGUAGCCCUCUCCUGCCUGCGCUGGUUGGAGAAAAAACUUUCCGUGUACCAAAGGGAAUUUUUUGUGUUACUCUUCAAGCUGCAGAUUUUUGUCACCCAGUUCCUCUACAAAUGCCCCCACUCCCAAGCCUGGCGACCCUUUGCAUCCGGGGCUCACGCUGGGAUUUCUUCAGCCGUUCCCUGUCAGCCGUGGCGAGGCAGCUGGCUGCUGCACGGGGACAUUCGCCCGUGAAGUUCUGGUACAUCCACACCUGACGGGUGGUCUGGGGUUCACCCCACUCUUGCUCACCCCAUGUGCAGCCUCCAGCUGCCUCCCUGCUGCUGCAGCAUCCUGCUUCCCUCUGCUCCUGCACUGUGUCACUGCCUUUCUGCAGAGGGGCGACACUCAUCUGUCGGCUUUUAUUCUUCAGGAAUUUGCCUGUUCUCCUGAUCCAGAGACCCUUCCUCUAGAGAAAUAACACUCUGUGUCUGCUGAGCAAACCUCUGGGGCUGUGGGAGGCAGCCGGGAGCCCUGAGGCAGCUUCUCCACUUUUGUCUGCCCCACCACUGUGCCAGGACUCAAGUCCCACCACUUGCAGCAUUCCCUCAUCUGGCUCACUGCACACCUUGGGGAUGCUGGUGCCCCUUCCCUCUGGGACUGCUGCCUGGCAGGGUGCUGAGCUGUUUCAUGGAUUCUCUGAGUUACAAUGUCACCCAUUUCUUCAUCACAGCUGAUCAGGAUUUUCCUUGUUCUGUCCAUCCAGGUCCCUCCCUCCAGAGACAGGAGGCUGCAGGUCUGCUCCACUUCCCCUAGCCCAGCUGUGGAGCCCUUGAAGAGCUGCUCGGUGUGUUCUGCUCUCACCUGAUUUUUCUUUCUCCAAGGUUUAGCUGUUUGCUCCUCCACCACAAGCUCUAUUCCCUGGAGAUUGCCACACUUCAGCUUGAGCACCAGCAGCAGGCUGCUGUCAGAGGGUGAUGCAGAGCCCUCACUUUGCCUGUCGGCUUGCCCUGACUCCUCUUCUCCAGGCUGGUGGGGCCGUGACUGCUGCCCUGGGACCUGCUCACUGCCACACCAUGACUCCUGCUCCCAUACCGGCUUGCUGCCAUGCCGUGAUUGCUGCCCCGAUACCUUCUCACUGCAACGUUGUGACUGCUGUCCCAAAGCCUGCUAGCUGCCAUGCUGUGACUCCUGCCCCAAUAUCUGCUGGCUGCUGCACUGGGACUCCUGCCUUGGUACCUGCUCACUGCCAUGCCUUGCUGGCCAUCUUGUUGUUUCAGGGCACAUACCUGAAAUUUCUCUUUCUGCCCCAUUUAAUGAUUUAUUCUUUGCAUCAAUACUGCUCUCAGAUAUUUGAGCAGGGGACUUCAGGAUUUCUGCCAGAGCCUUCUUGCUCCAAACUCUGCUCAUCUGCUGGCUCCUGUUCAUGACCUCUCUGGUUGUUUUUCGGCUGACCCAGGUCAUCCCAUCCUUGGGGUGGUAGGCCACCCUCCGCACUUGCUCCUGUCUUUCCCUGGAGCCAGUGCUGAGCGGCACCUCCUGCCAUGGGGGCUGGCAGCCACUGUGCCAUGGCUCGUCCCCCAGACAGGACUCUGGCCCCAGGGGCUGCCGGCUGCCCUUCCUGGAGAUCCGCUGAGGGCUGUGCCAAGAGUCCUGCCGAAGGGACCACUGGGAUGCUUUCCGCAGAUAUUCCUGCUCCCGGGCAGGUCUGCAGGUUUGCUCCAGCUCAGAAUCCUGGCCCCAAAGUUCCUGCCUUUGAGAAACAUCCAUUUCACUGCCAGGCUGCUGAACUGUGUCACCCAUCUUACUGCGUGAACCUUUACUCUCCUGAGUUUCUCAGGCAUCAUCUGCUGGUUCUGGUCCCAUUAGGUUUUGGCUGUGGUGCUGAUGCUUCUGUCCCCAUGCUUGCUGGCUGCUACCCCACAACUCCUGUCUCUGUGAUGCCAGCCCCUCUGCUGCAGCCAUUUCAGGAUGUAUAUCCAAAUUUUUCUCUUCCACCCUGUUUACCAGUGUAUCCUAUGUAUUGAUGGUUCCCUCCUGGUUUUGAGCAGGGCACCUUGAGGUUUCUUCCAGAGCCCUCUUGCUCCAAAUGUGACUCGACUGGUGGCUGCUGUUUGCCACCUCCUUGCUGGCCUGAGAGCUGGUGCAGGCAGGACCCUCUUCUGCACCCACACAUGGAGCUAGGACAGGCUCCUUUGCAUCACCUGGGAGUCUCCAAGUGAGGGAGCACCGGCUGCUUACCCCCUCACUCCCCAGCAGAUCAUCCUGGGGCAUGAGGGCCAGCACGUCCCCAUGCAGGGGCAGCUGGUGGUGGUGUGGAGCCGGUGGUGGCGAUGGGUUCCUCUGCCUGCCCCUGCCCUUCAGAAUCUCCCACCACUAUAAGGUCACCAAACAGCUCCACUGCUGCCCGGCUGCCACCCCCACCCCCAGCCACACUGCUAUCCCCAGACUGUGCCUCCACAACCCCACAGCUAUCCCAGCCUGUCCCCCCAUCCCACAGCCUGCCUCUAGCUAAACACUCGCACCGCUCUCCAAGUCUUGUACCCCCCUGCCCAUGCAGCCCCUAAUCGUCAUCCCCGCUGCCCCCAACUUUCCCAAGCAUUCCUCCCUGCAAGCUGUUCCCUGCUGCCAGCCAUACUGUGUUCCCAGAACCUGCAUUAAUAACCUGUCUUUUUUUACCCCCUCGUUUAUGUUUAAUUGCAAAAUUAAUUCAGGUUUUAAAAACCUUUAGCUCAUUGCCUGGCUUGUUUGUUUUGUUCAGCUUAUUCUGGAGAAACGUCUGCUUUAGAGUAUUUUGGCAGAGAUGGCUUCUCACAAUCUGCAGCAGACGGGGAAACUGUAAUUCAUGAGCCAAUACUGCUCCUUAACAAUCUUGCACUCUUACGUGCAUAAUUUUUUUUAAAAAAAUAAUAUUAAGAACCCUGUGGCUGCCUACAAAGAUGUAGAUGAACUGUGUGCCUCAUUUGUGCUGUAUGUACAGCUGAAAAUCCCUUUUUAAUUUGCUCUGUCACAGUUAAAUAUUGCUGCUCAUACAGCAUAUAACAUCUUUUACGGCAGUAAGACAAAAAAAUAAUUUGGAUAAAAGAACUACAGAAACAAAUUUCCACCCAAAUCUCAGUGCAAACAAAACCCCAUUCCUAGUUCAUGGUAUAUAAUCAAGGCUUUAUUAAAUCUAAAUCAGCAGGUAUAUGUAGAGGUAUAAUGCAACAAAAAGGUUAAUAGAAGAUUUUUUAGUGAAUUCACAACAUAAGGACGCUAAAUUACUGAAAGGCAAAAGUGCCCAAGGAAGCAAAUGAAAUCUUAAGGUGUAGAGGCCAAAACUCCAGGCUAUAGCCACUGUGAUGUGUGCCCAACAUAAACCUGAAAAUAUCCUUAAGCCCUGCCAGGAGUGACAGGACCUGGCCAGGUUGCAAUGAACUGGAGCGGGUAGUGCUUUCUAAGCAGCGGCAGACACGUCACGCUUACGCAUGAUACACUGUGCUCUACCCUUGCUCUUCCCAACAGAUCUGUAAAAAACCCAUGCAGAGAGCGAAGGCAGAAGGAAAAGUGGUUUGGUCCCAGCUGGUGGAAGCGGUGCUGCUUUCCUCACCCGCUGGAGCGUCACACCGUGAGAGCUGCGUGCCAAGCGAGCAGGUCACCAGCCCCAGAAAAGAAAUAAUUCACUCAUGCUGCACGCUGCAUUGUCAUGCGAUUGCAUGACAGGGUAUGGCGGGGAUGGUUCCCUCUGCCGCCACUUUCACCUGGCAGCCAGAGAGAUGUGACCUCCUCCAGGUGCAUUAACCACUGAGGUGUGAGAGCCAGAACUGGAGCCGGACUGCUGUGCCCUCAUCCCAGGACGAGCACCCAAGGGUGCUACCCUGUGCCCUGGGACCAGGACCACAUAGUCCUUUGUUCUUCAUCUUUGUUUUGACCCAGCUGCGAUCACCUUGCUUCAGAGUGGUCAAAUGACAUAUGAAGUUCAGACUAAUAGCAACCAACUUACCUAGUCUCAAAAUACUAGCAGAGUAAAGAUGCAAUUACAUUUGGUUGUGCAGGAGGUCAUCUGAGCAACACCCAGCGGUAUUUCACCACUCUUGGUAAAUCCACUCUGUGCAACACCAUCAACCUGCUUGAAGGUCCAAGGCCAUUGCAAUAUAAAUACUGUGAGUUUACACAGCUUGAAAGGGAGUAUUUGAAAGACGAAACACUUCCAAAAGUACUGCUGGAGAAAAACAUGCAGUUUUCUCCUUCCUUUGCAAGCCUCUAGUACUUGCUGGAGCACUCAAACUUUUGUGGAGGAUUGACCAUGGGGUAAAGCACAUGGCCAAGCUUUUUACUUCUCUCAGAAAAGCCACAGAAAAGUCACAAUCCACACAUAUUCCCUAUAGAUUUGUCAAGCCUUUCCAAGUAAAAUUCCCAAAUGUUCUGUCCAUGCCAAGCAUGCUCCAGCCCAGGAUGGAAGAUCUGCCACUUACCCUGU
Molecule: long non-coding RNA, 9363 nt
Organism: Falco peregrinus (peregrine falcon)
Lineage: Eukaryota; Metazoa; Chordata; Aves; Falconiformes; Falconidae
Exons: 3
Source: RefSeq, a predicted model, not a curated record